UUCCUGACAACGUCGCUGACGGGCGGGGUGUGCACGACGGCGCUGCUGGCGGUGAACGUGGCCGGAGGGGUGGUGGUGUACAGCGACGAGUUCGGCGGCGUGAAGGCGCCACCUCCUUCCUCGGCACCGCCCAAGUUCAGCCCACAAGUUCAGAGCCACCGCCGCCCUCAAGUUCAGAGCCACCGCCGCCUUCGAACCCCCUCAAGUUCAGCCACCGCCGC
Molecule: long non-coding RNA, 221 nt
Filed under: Salvia miltiorrhiza (redroot sage)
Lineage: Eukaryota; Viridiplantae; Streptophyta; Magnoliopsida; Lamiales; Lamiaceae
Description: long non-coding RNA (SMIL_LNC010728)
Source: RNAcentral